AAAACGGCCCUCUUCAGGGCCACAUCAGACAUGCUUUUCGGACAUGU
Non-coding RNA from Ixodes scapularis (black-legged tick), 47 nucleotides. NCBI's taxonomy places the organism in Eukaryota, Metazoa, Arthropoda, Arachnida, Ixodida, Ixodidae. The record is from Rfam.